RNAcentral lists this ribosomal RNA (1414 nucleotides) under Clostridioides difficile. RNAcentral's name for it is "bacterial LSU rRNA". It matches the Rfam family "Bacterial large subunit ribosomal RNA", at positions 1323 to 2745 of the family's 2925-position model. The record is from RNAcentral. Lineage: Bacteria; Bacillati; Bacillota; Clostridia; Peptostreptococcales; Peptostreptococcaceae.
GAGAAUCCCACAGGCCGUAAACCCAAGGUUUCCAGGGGAAGGUUCGUCCGCCCUGGGUUAGUCGGGACCUAAGCUGAGGCCGAAAGGCGUAGGUGAUGGACAACAGGUUGAUAUUCCUGUACUACCGAUAACCGUUUGAGAGAAGGGAUGACACAGUAGGAUAAGCUAAGCACACUGUUGGUUAUGUGUGCCCAAGCAUUGAGGCAGUCAAAGUAGGCAAAUCCGCUUUGAUAAUGCUGGGAUGUGAUGGGGAGCGAAAUUUAGUAGCGAAGUAGCUGAUUUCACACUGUCAAGAAAAGUCUCUAUCGAGGUUAAAGGUACCCGUACCGCAAACCGACACAGGUGGGUGAGGAGAGUAUCCUAAGGCCAGCGAGAGAACUGUUGUUAAGGAACUCGGCAAAAUGACCCCGUAACUUAGGGAUAAGGGGUGCCACCAUCAGGUGGCCGCAGAGAAUAGGCCCAAGCGACUGUUUACCAAAAACAUAGGUUUCUGCUAAGUCGCAAGACGAUGUAUAGGAGCUGACGCCUGCCCGGUGCUGGAAGGUUAAGGGGAUCUGUUAGAGCAAUCGAAGCAGUGAACUUAAGCCCCAGUAAACGGCGGCCGUAACUAUAACGGUCCUAAGGUAGCGAAAUUCCUUGUCGGGUAAGUUCCGACCCGCACGAAAGGCGUAACGAUUUGGGCACUGUCUCAACAACAGACUCGGUGAAAUUGUAAUUCCGGUGAAGAUGCCGGAUACCUGCGACAGGACGGAAAGACCCCAUGGAGCUUUACUGUAGCUUGACAUUGGGUCUUGGUACUACAUGUACAGGAUAGGUGGGAGGCUUUGAAACCAGGACGCCAGUUUUGGCGGAGCCAUCCUUGGGAUACCACCCUUGUAGUACUGGGACUCUAACCAUAGGCCAUGAAUCUGGUCUUGGGACACUGUCAGGUGGGCAGUUUGACUGGGGCGGUCGCCUCCCAAAAGGUAACGGAGGCGCUCAAAGGUUCUCUCAGUACGGUCGGAAAUCGUACGUAGAGUGUAAAGGCAAAAGAGAGCUUGAUUGCAAGACAUACAGGUCGAGCAAGGAUGAAAAUCGGACUUAGUGAUCCGGUGGUUCUGCGUGGAAGGGCCAUCGCUCAACGGAUAAAAGCUACCCUGGGGAUAACAGGCUUAUCUCCCCCAAGAGUCCACAUCGACGGGGAGGUUUGGCACCUCGAUGUCGGCUCAUCACAUCCUGGGGCUGUAGUAGGUCCCAAGGGUUGGGCUGUUCGCCCAUUAAAGUGGUACGCGAGCUGGGUUCAGAACGUCGUGAGACAGUUCGGUCCCUAUCCGUCGCAGGCGUAGGAAAUUUGAGAAGACCUGUCCUUAGUACGAGAGGACCGGGAUGGACGUACCUCUGGUGUACCAGUUGUCCUGCCAAGGGCAUGGCUGGG